GCGUUACAUUCUUCCCCCAUCCUUACGCCCCGAGCGAACCCUGUGUGACACAUGCUUGCCCGUUGUGGAUCUAUCCUUUCUGCAACACCCUCUUCUUCGGCCUCAGAUAAUCCAGCAAGUACACCUGGCUUGCAAGGAACUAGGUUUCUUCCAGGUACCCUACUUGUCGUGUUACGUCCAUGUCACCUGCAAUCACGCACUAAAAUAAGAUAGUCUUGCCCUAUUUAUUUACUUCAGUAUACAUAAAGUUCCUCAAGAUAGGAUCCAGUGAAUAAUAUUCACACACCAAGUAAAAAGAUGUUAGAUCAUCCGCAUAUAGAAAAAGCAUUUGCAAAUCAAGAAGAAGAAAGAACUUCAUGUCAUGCACAUGGUAGGGUUCUAGGCUUCAACUCCUCUGUCUUCUCUCUUCCCUUUAUUUUCAAAUUUUUUAAAACAAGUGUCCAAGAAUUCAGCUACUUUAGGUUGUCUAACAGGAAGGAAAUACAACAUCCUUCAUAAUUUCAACCUGAACAUUAAAUAACAACAUGCAUGUGAUAAAUGACUUUGCAGGUAGUUAACCAUGGAAUCCCAUUGUCAGUCAUGAAAGAUGCCAUAGAUGCUGCGAGCGAAUUCUUCGAUUUACCAACUGAAGAGAAAAAGCAUCUCUUGUCUUCAAAUGUUCAUGAACCCAUAAGAUAUGGUACUAGUCUAAAUCAUGUCAAAGACAAAGUACACUUUUGGAGAGACUUCCUCAAGCACUACGCUAAUCCAAUCUCAACUUGGAUUGACCUGUGGCCAUCAAAUCCCACAUGUUACAAGUAAGUCUCUCAUUUUCCUUUGCAAUAUGCUUUUGCUAUCUUAUAGAUGCAUAUUCUUACUGUUCAAGAACGAUAUAAUUUUUUCAAGUGCCUAAAGCAGCUUAUCAUGCAGGGAGAAAAUGGGAAAUUACACAAAGGCAGCGCAAAAGUUGCAAGAAGAACUCAUGGAAGUGAUAUUUGAGAGCUUAGGACUAAACCCUAGUUACUUACAUGAAGACAUUGCAGAAGGCUCUCAGGUCAUGGCCGUUAAUUGCUAUCCAGCAUGUCCUGAGCCAGAUCUUACACUGGGAUUGCCACCACACACAGAUUAUGGUAUGCUAUCCAUCAUUCUUCAAAAUCAUCAGGGCUUGCAAAUCAUGGACCGAGAUGAAAAGUGGCAUGCAGUUCCAGUCAUUGAAGGAGCUCUCAUUGUUCAGCUGGGAGAUCACAUGGAAGUAUUGAGCAAUGGCAGAUACAAAAGCGUUCUCCACCGAGCAGCAGUUAACUCAGAACAAAAGCGCAUUUCAAUUGCCAGCCUUCAUAGUCUAGCUUUAGGUAAAAAAGUUAGACCUGCACCAGACCUUGUCAAUGAACAACAUAUCUUGUCCUACAAUGAAGGAAGUUUCAGUGAUUUCCUUGACUUCAUUUCUCAAGAAGAUAUCAUCAAAGGAAAGUACAUAGACAAACUAAAAAUAAAGUCAUGAUGAUUAUGGUCCCUGAGAGAGCAUAUGUGAAAUCUCUUCUUCACACUCAAACUCCAUGCUGCACAACCUCUGUGUUUGUACUUGUUUAAAUGCACAAUCAAAUUAUCAGUACCUAUUUUUCCUAUGAGUCAAUCUAAUAUCAAUGGUGAGAGGCUCUUCAUUCUUCACGUAAGAGACCUCACUGUGACAAAUAAAUUAUGGGACAAAGUUUACCAGUCUAUUUAUUUUUAAGUAGGAU
Molecule: long non-coding RNA, 1718 nt
Filed under: Nicotiana tabacum (common tobacco)
Lineage: Eukaryota; Viridiplantae; Streptophyta; Magnoliopsida; Solanales; Solanaceae
Description: long non-coding RNA (NTAB_LNC003940)
Source: RNAcentral